GCAGGCAGGGGGCGGGCCCAGCCCGCGUCACCCGGUAGCAACCAAGCAGUGUGAGUGUGCUGGCUGCGCGGGCGGCGCGGAGCCGAGCGAGCCGAGCCGCGCCGCACUCACUCGCACUCACACCGGCGCGCACGCCAGCCUGGGACCCCGCGCGCGCACAGCCAUGGGCAGGCAAGGCCACCCGGGAGCCCUUCGUUCACGCAGGCUCGGAAGACAAGCGGGGCGUGAGCAGCGACCCGCAGGACACACACUCCUUGCCACGUUCCAGCCCGUGCCAGCCCGUGCUGGGUUCUGUUCACUCUCACAGGACACAUGCAGGUGUGCAAGGACACUCCAAGCACACACGAACGUGUGUAGAUACUUGAUGAAAGUAUCCACUGGCUUAUACCCGCAGGACACACACACAAACAUAUGUAUUCAUACAGAGUUUGUUGAGGCUGUUGUGGCAUGGUAAACCCCCUGAAUGACACGCAAACACAGGCAUAGAGGUGGUCAGGGGACUCAGGCAAUCUUCCAUGCCCCCAACCAUGCCUAAUGGGGCACACAAACACACCAUAGUAGUGAUCAGGGGAUUCUGCACAGACACCCACACCCACACACAUCUAGUGGAACGCACAGCCACACUCCUAGGAGUGCAGGCAUAGGCUGCUCACACACUAGCAGAAUGAGUACAUCAGCUGUCCAAGGUCAUUGCUGAUACAGUCUGUUCACACUUUCUCUCAGGUCACAUACAAACACACACUCUGUAAUCUCAAUCUAGUACCUUGCUUGUCCAAUGAGUAGUUUGAAGGGACCCAUGGGGACAGGGUGAAUGAGAACCUUGAUCACAAGCUGUAGUCAGAAGGCAGGUGAGGGCAGGCAGGGCCUGGGCAGAGGAGACCUUCCCAGAGAGUGAUAGAUGAGAGGCAAGGUGUGGUCUGCCCACUGGCUCUGGCCUCCCACAUGUUCAGAUAACUAAACAAAUCCCAGACAGCCCAGUCCUGGCUGCUGUCCUGCUUUCCGGAACAGAGCUCUGUUGGAAAUGGCUGCUGCUCAUACACGUGUGUCCCCACAAAGCCCUGGGAACGGACUGAAUCCUGUUUACUUUCUGGUUUCUACUGACAUCAGAAAUGCUUAUCUUCUUGGCUGGGUCCCUUCCAUGAGUCUGAAUGAGGGGUCCCAAGCCUGUGCCCCUCCCUCUACCAUAACCUCUGUGGAGGAGUGGGGAGCAGAGAGAAGAGAGAGAAGGCCUUGCCCUCAUCACUUCCAGCUGCAUCGUUCUGAUAAAUCAUUUGAUCUCUUUGAAGCUCUGUUUCUUCAUCUGUGAAAUGGGGCUGAUUCAAACCUCACAGCCUUAUGGUGAAGCCCCAUCUAUCACUGAGCAUGACAAAUAAGAGGUGUUCAAUAGGGUUGGCGUUCUCUUCUCCCUUUCCUUGGGAGAUGAGACUCACUGUUGGGAAAUGAUGGAGAUGCCUAGACCCCAUCAGUCAUGUUGUACAGGGUGAUAAUGGUCACUACCCACUAUUGAAAACUACAAUAUACUGUGUCAAGCAUGUUUAAAGUUGUCAUCUCAUUUAUUCCUAUACUAUCCCAUGAUGUAGGCAGAGUUUACUGUUUCCAUUUUGUAGUGAGGAAAUUAAAGCUCAAUGGCUUGGCCAGGGUGACUGCUGGCUGGUGGCAGAGCUGGCAUUAGAACUCAGGUGUCUUGAAUUUUCGAGGCUUCCACGUCCCCUUCCCCUUCUUCCCCCCCGCUACUGAGCUCCAGGGGUCAGAGCAGGGGUUUUACGCAGGUGAAACCUUGUUCCCUAAACCUUUUCCUGAGGCUUCUUGGAAUGGGGAGCCCAAAUUGAGGAGGAAGAAGAGGAGAAGAGAGAGAGGGUCAAGAGCCCUCAGGAGUUACAGUGGGAAUGAACCAGCCUGGGGGCUCCCUAAGGACGAUCUCGGAUCCUGAUGGGAGGAAAAAAAUCAGCCUUCCAAGACUCAAGGGCCAAGGGAAGGACAGGAGAGCCUAGAAGCCUAACACAGUGGGUGUCUCAUUUCCAGGAAUGCUUGAGGGGAUUAGUCCUUUAAUAGGCACAGAAUGACUUCUUUUGUGCCAGAGGUGGCUGCAUCACUAAAUAGUUAUGUAAUGACACAGAGUAUUAAAAUACAGAUGCUGAACUAUCAUUUCAUAAUUCUUUCACUUGAGGAGCAAGAGAGUGUUGUCAUUGUCUUACGGAUAGGGAAACUGAAGCUUCAGGAGGUCAAGUAACUGGGAAUGAGAGCCUGGAUAUCCUGACCCCUGACCCUGUGACCUUUGACAUCAAAGCUACAUCUCACUGGGGGUAGGGACAGAAGGGGGCUCACAGCUCCCUCCUGGCCUCUUGACUUUCUGUGGGUCUGGCUUUUUGGAGGAUCAGCUCGUGGCUCUUGGCUCUGCAGUCUCUGGCUCUGGGGAGGGUAUAGAAGAAGUGGGGUAGAGGGCUGAGACUCUAAGGCACAGAGCCAGGAGACCCUAUGAUGCCCGCUGGAGAAACAUGGGGGCGUAUGUGGGGCCAACCUCUGGCAGGUGGUGGAGUCAAGAGCCACUCUGAGGUCUGAAUUCUUCCACCUAUGAGUCUAGCAGAGAUGGGGUAGGGACCCUGGAGGGGUAGAAUUAGCGUUAUCUGGGCAAGUGUGCAGUUUCUAGAAAGAGUAUGGGUUGUGGAGACAGAUAGACUUGGAUUAAAAAACCAGGGUCUCCCUCCUCCUAACUCUCUGACUUGGGCAAGUCACUUAACUUAGGUCCUCAGUCUCACCUGUGGAAUGGGGGAGGCCACGAACAAUCUCGUGAGAACCGAAGAGGGAGAUGGCUAGAAAGUGCAUAGUGCAAUGCCUGGCAUGCAACAGGCACUCGGUGAAUUGUAAUUCUCUUGUCCUGCCUUUCCAGUGCAAACCAUCAUCAUAUGCCCUAUGCCUGCUUUAGUUUCUCUACCAGAGAAGUGCCGUUAGCUGUUCUCUCCCUGUCUGCUGCAUGGACCAGGCUUUUGAUCUCCCACCUACUGAAGCCUCUGUCCAAUGAGGUACAAGUGGGUUCUGGAAGAAUGGUCCUGGCAUCUGCGCCACUGGGACACCUAUUAAUGCAGAUCCCAGACCCCUACCCCACACCCACUGACUCAGAUAUGUGUGUGAAGAGUUUGGAUGCAUCUUGUCAAGCACCCCUAGAUUAUUUUCAUGCACAAUUAUUUUUAUGAGAUUGUUAGGUUAGAAGGUGCUAAUGGUUUAAUACAGUGAUUCUCACCUGUUUUGCUGCCUCCACACUGUUCAAUGUGCAACACCUGGGAAUGCGUGUGUCAGAAUCUCUAGAGCGCUUUGGCAGAUUCCCAAUGGGGAGUCUGAUACAUCCUGCUUUGCAUAUUAUGACCUGUUUCCUGGCUGAGAACCACCACUUAAGCCUUUCCUUCUGGUAGGCGACAGGCAUUUUAGAGGAAAUGACCUUUACCCUGUACUUGGCUGGAUGUUCUUGGUUGGCACCCCUGGCUGGUGUCGGCAUGCUCUGGAAGGAAGGGCCCUCCCUGGCCCUGGCCUAAUGUUUGCCACCAGUUUCCACCCUCUGCUGAUUACUAGAGGAGCUCUUGGCAUGCUGUGCUGAUAGGACCUUCUCUAUAUUAAUAGCAAUAUUUAACCCAAAGGCAGGGCUGAUGGAAAAAUUCCAACCACUUGCUGGUUGAUGGAGAAAGGGUCCCUGUCUAUUCACUUAUUUAUGAAUUCAUAUUUUAACAAAUAUUUAUUGAGCAUCUACCCUAUGACAGGCCCCGUGCUGCAUUCUGCAGAGGGCAUGGUGAUUAAUGAGGCCCCAUUUUCCUUUAGAUUUCAGAUUACAAAGGGCAAAUCAGGAAGGGACAUGGGAGCCGCCUACUUUGUUGAUUGCCACCGCUUCCUUGGCCUAGACCAUGGCCUUGGCAUGGGAAGCAUGGUAGAGUGCUGACAUAUGCAAUUCAGUAUGAAAGUUUGCAGUAUAGCCUGUGGCGGCUGAGAGGCAAACUUGAUGUAUUAAGUGAUAUUAAAAAUGCAGCUCUUUCUGAUAAUUUAUUAUGCACAUUUUCAUAAACACAUUACACUCGUCACAGUACAUUUACUAGCACUAGUCCUACCAGUGGGGAAAAGUUAACACUUAUCUAAUGAUGCUAUUUUGUAAAUGGCAAAUGCUCUUAGAGCAGCUGCGAUGGUCUAAAUAGCUCUAAGAGGUGUUUGUCUUCUUUACCCCUGGGACAACUGUCCAGUGGUUUGCAGACCACAGGUCUGUGGGCCCCUCACCUCACCCACACCUCUCAUUUUCCACGUGAGGAAACUGAGGUCUAUAGCGAUGGAGGACCUGGCUCAAGGUCACAUGAGACAGACCUGGAACUCACACUAAGGGACUGAGUGGAAAGACUAGAGCUCUCUCUCCUGCUACACAGGCCAUGGUCUGGGCUGCUGGAUUGGAAAGAGGCCAAGGUAAGAGGCUUACCUGCCAGGAGGGGCUUAGCUCAGGUUCAGGCUGCCUCUGGCUGGAAAUCAGAUGCCAGGGAGGGAUAAUGCUGUAUCCUUAGGGGAAGCUCUAGAAAUAACCUGAUGGAGGACAAGGAGUAUAGCCUGAGGCUUAGGUGACAACACGGAUGAGGCAGUGCCCUCUAUUUCCCGCCCCGUAAGAGGCCUGGGGACCACUGGAGCCCAGGGUCUUGUUUGAAUGUCUUUUGAACUAGAGUGAACAUCUCAGUGUAAUGAAUGGGUUAGAAUGGACAGGAGCUCUAACUGGCAAUUUUGAAACUCAGGGCCAAUAGCUACAAAUAUUCCCUCAAACAGCUUUUAAUUAAUUACUGAUGCAAUUCAGAAGGUAUUAACAAGGCAAAUGAUGGCUUCUCAUUUUAACUCAUUUUGCUUUUUAAAUUUAUAAAUAUUUCAGUCAUACAACAAAAGCCAAGGGUAAACGUAAAGACUGCCUGUACCAUCAACCAGCUUAAAAAGAAAACAUUAUAGGUUCCUCAAAAAGCUAAACAUGGAAUUACCAUGUGACCCAGCAUCUCCCAAGAAUAUACCUAAAAGAAUUGAAAGCAGGAAUUCAGAUACUUGUACACCCAUGUUCAUUGUAGCAUUUUUCACAACAACCCAAAGGGCAACAACCCAAGUGUCCAUCAGCAGAUGAAUACAGAAACAAAUGUGGUAGAGUUAUACAAUGGAAUAUUAUUCAGCCCUAAAAAGGAAUGACGUUCUGAUCUAUGCUACAAUCUAGAUGAACCUUGAAGGCAUGUUAAGUGAAAUAAGACAGACACAAAAGCACAAAUGUUGCAUGAUUUCACUUAUAUGAAAUGUCUAGAAUAGGCAAAUUUAUAGAGACAGAAAGUAUAUUCUCUACUUACCAGGGGCUGGGGGGAGGAGAGAAUGGGGAGUUAUUGCUUGGUGGGUACAGAGUUUCUGUUAGGGUGAUGAAAAAAGAUUUUGAAAAUAAAUAAUGAUGAUAGUUGCACAAUAUUGUAAACAUAAUUAAUGCCACUGAAUUGUACACUUAAAAUGAUUAAAAUGCAAAUUUUGUAUUUUAUGUUUCACCGCAAUUUUAAAAAUCAUAAAUGCAUUUGAAAUCUCCUUAUAUUCUUCCUCUAUUCAUUGCUCUCCCCAGAGGCAAUCACUAUUACAAAUUUAGUAAUUAUCACUCUAUGCAUUCAUUUUUACAUUUACAACAUAUGUAUGCAUCUACAAAUGAUUGAUAUAUGGUAUGGUUUGGUAUGUUUUAAAACUUCAUAUAAAUGGUAGCAUACUGUACAUAUCCUCAUUUUACUGAUUUUUUUUCCACUUACCACUGUUUGUGAGAUGCAUUCUAUUGGAGCAUGUAGUUAUAGUUUAUUUGUUUUCAUUGCUGUAUAAUACUCCACUCUGAAAAUACCACAGUUUGUUUUUCCUUUCUAUUUUUGCACAUUUACAUUGAUUUCUACAUGUUGCUAUUAUAAACCUGUUGCAAUGGGUUUUCCUAGCCCACGUGUGGGAGAGUUUCAUUACAACUUCUUGGACAGGGAAUUGCUGGGUCGAAGGACAUGUGUAUUUAUAGCUUGACCAGAGAGUGUCAAACUGCUCUCAAAAGUGGUUAUGACCAUUUCUAUUUCUACCAGCCGUGUAUGAAGUUCCAGUUCCUUCAUAUUCUCAUCAACGCUUGGUAUCACCAGACUUGAAUUUUUGCUGAUCUGAUAGGUGUGAAAGGGUAUCUCAUUGCGUUUAAUUUGUUCUUCUUGCUGACUAGAUGCUGUUGCAUUUUUUCAACUAAGGGCAGGUAUACACAGUCAAGAGAUAAAUGUAGCAAAUUGAAAAUUGAGGAGUUUCUAUCUAUAAGGGAUAGGUUAAAUACAGUAUGAUUCGCCUGUACAGUGGAAUAUUAUGUAGCCAUUAAAAAGACAAGGCAGCUCUGUGUGCAUUGGUAUGGAAGAUAUAUCUAUAUUCUGAUGCACUAAAAAUCUUUUCAUCUGAGACAUACUGUUAAAUAAAAAAGCAAGAAUCAUAAGACAGUAUGAUUCUUGUAUAUAAAGAAAAGGAUGUAUACACCCAUGUAUUUUUUUUAUAUGCAUAAGACACCAUUGAAAGAAUAGACAGGAAUCUGAUAAAAAUAGUUCACCUGCGAAGAGAACUAAGGGACAGGGAAACUUUUCUGCUCUGUGCAUUUUUACCACAAACAUGAAUUACACAUAAAAAAAAAAAAAAAA
Molecule: long non-coding RNA, 6665 nt
Organism: Pteropus alecto (black flying fox)
Lineage: Eukaryota; Metazoa; Chordata; Mammalia; Chiroptera; Pteropodidae
Exons: 2
Source: RefSeq, a predicted model, not a curated record